Molecule: ribosomal RNA, 393 nt
Filed under: Triticum aestivum (bread wheat)
Lineage: Eukaryota; Viridiplantae; Streptophyta; Magnoliopsida; Poales; Poaceae
Description: partial small subunit ribosomal RNA
Source: RNAcentral
AUGAGUUUUAUGUUGUGGCUUAAUCAUUUGAAUCAUUUGCAGCUGGAGAUGGGAAAUAAUCACGGAUGGUGCCCAACAUUCAGCAAUCUUAAAAACUUGACUCUUGAUAGUUGGUGCGUGCAUGCAGACUUCUAUGCGCUGAUAGUCUUCCUUCAGAACUCACCUAAUCUGAAGAAGCUAACUCUUAAACUAAACGAGCGACGAUAUCACAACGAGGUUGUAUCUGCAAUCAUCGGCGAGCUGGAGGAUAGAUCGUUUAUAUGUGAACAGCUCGAGAUUGUCGAAAUCAUAUGCUCGGAGGGAAAUGAGCUGCUGCUACUUGGGGUCAAUCAGUUUUUGCUAGAAGAGAGUGGCAUAAGGCCUGAUCAGAUGCGUGUCAGUCACCAGAACUAA